GAGGUACUGGGCCCAUCAAGAGGAAUUGGGAAAAUCACAUGUUGAACUUCUAGUAUUGCUAAAAUUCAUCAAGUUGAGGCAACCACCACUGAAGCUUUACCCAAGUAGGUAGAAAAGCAGAUACAUGAACCUCUUCCCCAAAGAUUUUCCCAAAGGUUUGACGAAGUCUUGACAUAAUCUGCAAAGUGCUUCAGCUUGAAAAUGUUUAUUUCUGGUUGUGUCCCUUUUGCAUGUAUUUAUUCAUUAGUCCGUCCCAUAUUGUUCCUGCAAAAACCUGCACUAACAUUUGCAUUUAGAAAUUGUAGAGCAAUAUCUGAUGGAUAACUAUGUUCUGGUCCAUGUUUCAGUCCUGGUAGUGCAGAUCCUGUCAGUUUGCUCUGAAUUUCAUAAUUCCUCAAGCAUCCUUAGCUAGGACUAACUGGAAAGCUAACCAGCUCAACAGAAGUCUUAUUACUGGUCUGGAAAAGUAGCCUCUUUUUCUGAAAUUUAAUUUGGUCUUCCCUUCUUUUGAAUGCUUUCCCCUGUGAGCUGUCCGGACGGCACAGAAAGCAAAGCAUAUACAGACUUAGAUAUCUGUACCCAAGUGGAAAUAAUGUUUUAUGAGAAGCAGACGUAAAUCAGUGCAGUUACUGGAGUAAAUUGGCCUAGUAUAAUAUAAACUCAGCUAUUUAUUUUACUUUAUUUUGCAUUUCUUUCAUGCUGCCUUUUAUUUGGGGAGGGGCAGUGACGAUCUUGUGAAUCAAAAGAUGCUUAUAUAUGCAAGGGAGUGGGGGGAAAGUGCUUUAGCUUUGUUUCAGUCUAUCAAGGGAAAAUAGGUACACACACACAAAAGUGCGUAUUACCAUAUUGACCCUAUUUAUUUUCACAGCAGGUGCAAGAUAGCUUGCGCUAUCAAUGACCACUGGAAACAAAGACGGGCAGAAGUGUGAACUUGCUUUCACCUCUUAUAAUUCCACAGUGGUCUCAGAGGUUAAUGCAUAAAAUAAUUCAGGUCACCAUGACUUGAAACCACCAGACCAUGGAAGCCUCCUUCAGAGCCAAUCAGGCCUAACGUGCAGUAUUUUAGACCGCCUGCGUACUUGUGCCUGGAUCAGAUAUUACUGGUUUUUCAGGAGAUCAUACGGCAGGGGAAUAAAUGGCACCUUGCCCAAGAGCACUUGGUGAACUUCAUGGUGAGUAAACUGCAACCCUAACCUCUCUUCCGGGUUUCCCAUUGACAGCUUGCUAGUUACUGUGAAUCACAGAAUCAUAGAGUUGACCAAGGGUCAUCUAGUCCAACCCCCUGCAAUGCAGGAAUCUCAGCUAAAGCAUCCAUGACAGAUGGCCAUCUGCUUAUAAACCUCCAAGGAAGGAGAGUCCACCACCUCUCUUGGGAGUCUGUUCCACUGCCAAACAGCUCUGACUGUCAGAAACUUUUUCCUGAUUAGUCGGAAUCUCCUUUCUUGUAACUUGAAGCCAUUGGUUCGAAUCCUACCCUCCAGAGCAGGAGAAAGCAAGCAUGCUCCCUCUUCCAUGUGACAGCCCUUAAGAUAUUUGAAGAUGGCUAUCAUAUGGAGUUUGGAUUUGGAUUUGAUAUCUCGCUUAAUCACUACCCGAAGGAGUCUCAAAACGGCUAACCUUCUCCUUUCCCUUCCUCCCCCACAGCAAACACUCUGUGAGGUGGGUGGGGCUGAGAGACUUCAGAGAAGUGUGACUAGCCCAAGGUCACCCAGCAGCUGCAUAUGGAGGAGCGGAGACGCGAAGCCGGUUCCCCUGAUUACGAAUCUACUGCUCUUAACCACUACACCACACUGGCUCUCCUCUCAGUCUCCUCUUUUCUAGGCUCUACAGGCUAAACUUAACAUCCUGUGAGGACAGGAUACUAGAAUAGAUGGGCCUUUGCCUGAUAUAGCAGGGCUAUUCUUGUGUUGUUUGUUGUUGUUGUUGUUGUUGUUGUUGUUGUUGUUGUUGUUGUUGUUGUUAUUUCUACUCCACCCAUCUGACUGGGUUCCCCAGCCACUCUGGGUGGCUUACACAUAAACACAUUUGCCAUUUUAAGCUCCCUCCCUCCCUUUCCUACAUUUACAUCCAACAUUUCCACCAAGGAUCUCAGAGUGGUGCACAUAGUUCUUCUCCCCACUUUAUGCACACAGCAACCCUGUGAGGUAGGUUAGGCUGAGAGUGAGUGACUGACCCAAGGCCACCCAGUAAGCUUCAUGGCUGAGUGGGGAUUCGGACCCUGGUCUCCCUGGUCCUAGUCCAAUACACCAACCAUUACACCACACCGAUGGAACCUCCAGCUGUUUCUGCUAACCGUGCUGGCUGGGGCAUGCCCUCCAAUACAAAGCGGCCCCAAACCGGGACGCCAUUUUCCAGGGCCACACUCUCACAUGAGUCAUGUGUCCUGUCUGAGAGCGCAGCCCCCCAAAAGUGCUUUUGUGCGUUUUGGGGUGCUGCGCAAGAUUGCUGCCCCCAGCACUUUUUUCAUGGCAAAAGUGUGGUCUGAAAUUGUGUGAGAUAUUUUGGCCACUGUCUUCAUGUGAGAGAAAAAAAUGGGGUGUCCCAUUUCCCCCCUCAGCACAGUUGACAGGUAUGCCAGGGUUUGGGAUGGCCGACCUACUUCAUGAGCACCUUCCCCUGCCCCAAUGAUUUUUGAUUUCAUUGUGAGUUUGGCUACUAGUGGCAUGAUCCAGGUCAUGUUAACUCCCAGAUGUUUCAAGCAGUUACUUAUAUUUCGCCUGCUGAAACCAGUAGGACUUCCAAGGGCUUCGCUUUGGCUGGGAUGUACCCGGCUUUGUAUUCUCUGCAAAGCUGUGCUGCAAUAUUGUCCUUUCAAAUCAGCCAUGCCACUUGCUCUGGGACAUCCUUACAAUGUCCUAUGGAAGGACAAACAUGCACAGAUGUUCUCCACUCUAUUCUUUCUCUAUCUAUCCUGCAGCACUCUUGCCCGAUGUGCUCUGAAGCCAGUCACCCCUCCUUUAAAAGGUUUGGCUCAGGGCAAAGCGACAGCAGCUGUGAGGCAGGUGAAGGGUUAACCUAAAGCAUGCAGCUGCUAAUGUUAGUUUCGGAGGCAGACCCAAGUCUUCAGGGAUAAUCUAUCCAGGCAAGAUCUGACAUGAGAUGUGACAUUUACUAUCCAGCACAGCUAAGGCCGUCGGGGAUGUUAUCAGGAGUGACUGAAGACACCUCUUCUUGCCUCUCUUCCUUUAUGCCUUCUGUAAAUGAAGUUACUUCCUGGUUGUUUUCAAAGCAUCCCCAACCAUUGGCCCUGCUGGCUAGGGCACAGCAUGGUGGGAAUCCCAAAACAUGCUAAUGAUUAAGUGGUAUGUAAAUGCUUGCAGUGCGGGUGGCGCUGUGGUCUAAACCACAGAGCCUAGGACUUGCCAAUCAGAAGGUUGGCGGUUCGAAUCCCCGUGACGGGGUGAGCUCCCGUUGCUUGGUUCCAGCUCCUGCCAACCUAGCGGUUUGAAAGCACACCAAAGUGCAAGUAGAUAAAUAAGUACCGCUCCAGCGGUAAGGUAAAUGGCAUUUCCGUGCGCUGCUCUGGUUUCUCCAGAAGCGGCUUAGUCAUGCUGGCCACAUGACCCAGGAAAACUGUGGACAAACGUCGGCUCCCUCAGCCAAUAAAGCGAGAUGAGUGCCACAACCCCAGAGUUGUUCACGACUGGACUUAACCGUCAGGGGUCCUUUACCUUUACCUUUUUAAAAUGCCUUAAAUAAACAAAUGAAUGUCUGGAGGACCACAGGUUUCCUAUCUGUGGGUUAGUGUGUACGAUGGAGAUGGGGGACUGGUGGCCCUUCAGAUGUUGCUGGACCACAAAUCCCAGCAUUCCCUGCCCAUUGGGUCAUUCUGGCCCCUGGCUGAUGGGAAUUGGAAUUCAACAUCUCCUUGAGGGUCAUAGGUUCUCCAUCCCUGGUGUAGGAUUCAGACUGAGGUGAUCUAGAUUCAGAUCCCCACUCUGCUAUGAAGCUUACUUGCUAACCUUGGGGCAGUGUUCCUCACUUUUGCCUGCAUUGCAGGGUGGCUAUGGGGAUAGGAGGUGGGAAACUUUGAGCUAUUUAGAGGAAAGGUGGGAUGUAACUGAGGGCUCCACAUUUCUGAUUGUCCCUUGCUUUUUUUAAGGCACAGUACCAAGAGAUAUUUCAUUUGCCCCACCACUUUUCCCAGGAAAGCUCACUGAUUACCACUGAACUGGAACAAAUGUCAAUCUGCAGAAAACCUGAUUGAUGAGUGUUUUGAUUCAGCAGGACGAAAUAAAAAUCUCUUGGACAUGGAAAGGACAGGACAAUUGUGGAUGAGCCGGGAGAGAGCACCUCAUCUGUUAUGUAUGCAGGAGGUCACUGCAGUCUGUGAGAGAGGGUCUCAUUGAAGAACCAAAGAUCUCAGAAGUCUGCUCUAUGAUAACUCAGAACAGGGUUUGGAAUAUUAUGAAAACUAUGAAAAAGAAAAGAGUGCGUCCGCCUCCGUUCUAUGAAACAGCCCACUCCCUUCACUUUUUAGAAACGAUGGAAAAUACCUUCGUUCUAACAGUUUUUCCCAGCUGGAUGAAUGGGUCUCCCCAAGAGGCAUCCAUUUGGUGGAAACUAAAUUUUACUCAUAGUGGAC
Molecule: non-coding RNA, 4585 nt
Organism: Podarcis lilfordi (Lilford's wall lizard)
Lineage: Eukaryota; Metazoa; Chordata; Lepidosauria; Squamata; Lacertidae
Source: the annotation of a GenBank genome assembly